AGGGCGUAUGGCGGAUGCCUAGGCUCACGGAGGCGAUGAAGGACGUGAUAAGCUGCGAUAAGCUUCGGGUAGGUGCAAAUAACCUUUGAUCCGAAGAUUUCCGAAUGGGACAACCUAGCCGUCUGAAGGACGGUUACUCUUACCAAUGUAAGAGAGCUAACGCAGGGAACUGAAACAUCUUAGUACCUGCAGGAAGAGAAAAUAAAUGAAUGAUUCCCCCAGUAGUGGCGAGCGAACGGGGAACAGCCCAAACCAGUGGCGUCGCAAGGCGUGGCUGGGGUUGUAGGACCGCGACAUUGUAUGCAAAUCGUGAACAGAACACUUUGGAAAAUGUGACCAUAGACGGUGAUAGUCCAGUAUGUGAAGCGAAAUGCAGCAUAGCGGUAUCCUGAGUAACGCGGGACACGAGGAAUCCUGCGCGAAUCUGCCGGGACCAUCCGGUAAGGCUAAAUACUCCCGUGAGACCGAUAGCGAACGAGUACUGUGAAGGAAAGGUGAAAAGAACCCCGAGCAGGGGAGUGAAAUAGUUCCUGAAACCAUACGCCUACAAGCGGUCGGAGCAUCGUAAGAUGUGACGGCGUGCCUUUUGCAUAAUGAUCCUACGAGUUACCGUCACUGGCGAGGUUGAGUGUCAUGAGACACGUAGCCGCAGUGAAAGCGAGCCUGAAUAGGGCGCACAGUCAGUGGGGGUAGACGCGAAACCAAGUGAUCUACACUUGGCCAGGAUGAAGUCCCGGUAACACGGGAUGGAGGUCCGCACCAAUAAGCGUUGAAAAGCUUCUGGAUGAGCCGAGUGUAGGAGUGAAAGGCCAAUCAAACUUGGAGAUAGCUCGUACUCCCCGAAAGGCAUUUAGGUGCCGCGUCGGAUGGUCACCGUGAGAGGUAGAGCGACCGAUAGGACAAGAGGGCUUCACCGCCUAUCGAGUCCUGACGAACUCCGAAUGCUCACGGUCUGCAGUCCGGCAGUAAGGGGGCGGGUGCUAAGGUCCGUCCCCGAGAGGAGAAGAAUCCAGACCGCCGUCUAAGGUCCCGGAGUUCUGCCUGAGUUAGUCUAACGAAGUCUGGUCCCUAUGACAGCUAGGAUGUUGGCUUGGAAGCAGCCAUUCAUUCAAAGAGUGCGUAACAGCUCACUAGUCGAGGGUCCGGGCAUGGAUAAUAAUCGGGUAUAAGGCAGACACCGAAGGCGCGGGAUAGCAAUUAUAAAAGUAUCGGUAGGGGAGCAUACUCACAGCGUCGAAUGGUGUACGUAAGUUAUCCUGGAGCGGUGAGUAAAGCAAAUGUAGGAAUAAGUAACGAUAAGGAGGGUUAGAUUCCCUCCCGCUGUAAGACCAAGGUUUCCCGGGCAAUGCCAAUCAGCCCGGGGUCAGUCGGGUCCUAAGUCUAAGCCGAACGGCGAUGGCGAUGGCAGAGACGGUUAAUAUUCCGUCACUGCCGCAUGGGGCGACGUGGAGACGGAGCAGUGAAACCACCGCGGGGCGACGGAAGUCCCCGUUGAAGAGUGUAGGUGUUGAGGAUGGCAGGCAAAUCCACCAUCCGAGCUGAACUUGAGAGUACGGAGUCCUCUUCGGAGGAAUCUGAUAGUGUGGGUAAUCAUACUCCCGAGAAAAUCCGCUAAGCUUAACCCAUGCGGCACCCGUACCGCAAACGGACACACGUGGUCGGGUAGAACAUACUAAGGCGUUGAGAGAUUCAUGGUUAAGGAACUAGGCAAAUUGACCCUGUAACUUCGGGAUAAAGGGUCCUCGUGAUGAGCGAGGCGCAGAGAAUAGGUCCAGGCAACUGUUUAACAAAAACACAGGGCUGUGCAAACUCGAAAGAUGACGUAUACAGCCUGACACCUGCCCGGUGCCGGAAGGUUAAGAGGAGAUGUCACUCGCAAGAGGAAGCAUUGAAUUGAAGCCCCGGUAAACGGCGGCCGUAACUAUAACGGUCCUAAGGUAGCGAAAUUCCUUGUCGGGUAAGUUCCGACCUGCACGAAUGGUGUAAUGAUCUGGACACUGUCUCAACCGUGAGCUCAGUGAAAUUGUAGUAUCGGUGAAGAUGCCGAUUACCCGCGAUGGGACGAAAAGACCCCGUGAACCUUUACUACAGCUUAGCAUUGACCUUGGUCAUCCGAUGUGUAGGAUAGGCCGGAGGCUUCGAAGCGGGAGCGCCAGCUUUCGUGGAGCCAUCCUUGAAAUACGGCCCUUUGGCUGUCUGAGGUCUAACGCGUGAUACGCGGACACUGCUUGGUGGGUAGUUUGACUGGGGUGGUCGCCUCCAAAAGCGUAACGGAGGCUUCCAAAGGUGCCCUCGGGUCGAUUGGUAACCGACCUCAAAGAGUGCAAUGGCAUAAGGGCGCUUGACUGGGAGGCAGACAUGCCGAGCAGGCAGGAAACUGGGGCAUAGUGAUCCGGCGGAUGUGUAUGGAAACUCCGUCGCUCAAAGGAUAAAAGGUACUCCGGGGAUAACAGGCUGAUCCCCCCCAAGAGCUCAUAUCGACGGGGUGGUUUGGCACCUCGAUGUCGGCUCGUCACAUCCUGGGGCUGGAGAAGGUCCCAAGGGUUCGGCUGUUCGCCGAUUAAAGUGGCACGCGAGCUGGGUUCAGAACGUCGUGAGACAGUUCGGUCUCUAUCUAUCGUGGGCGUGGGAGUUUUGAGUGGUGCCGUCACUAGUACGAGAGGACCGUGAUGGACAGACCUCCGGUUUACCAGUUGUGCCGCCAGGCGCACCGCUGGGUAUCUGAGUCUGGAUUGGAUAAGCGCUGAAAGCAUCUAAGUGCGAAGCCAGCCGCAAGAUGAGAACUCCAUUGA
Molecule: ribosomal RNA, 2792 nt
Filed under: human gut metagenome
Description: bacterial LSU rRNA
Rfam family: Bacterial large subunit ribosomal RNA
Source: RNAcentral